CCUGUAUGCACAUGUCAAGGCCGCCAUUAUCUCUGCAGAAACUUCGCGGGAAAGUCAACAAAAAGUUGUAAAAACAGGAAAUCUGUUGACUAGACCAGUACCAAAACCAAAAACCCCAGGCCUACUGUCCAGUUGUAAGAUACACCCACACCUGGACAUAAACUGAAGUACAUCUGAUCAUCAAUGAUGUCUCAAAUUGUCCUGAAAUUCACUUAGCAAUGGUUUGUUUGGAUGAUGGAGGAUAUUUGGUACAGAUGUCGGAUUUUGCCUCUAAAAUAGAUCUGUCAGGUGACUUCUGGAUCAGCUGUCCAUCCUGGAGUGUGGAAUUUCAUCGGCCACUUAGACAACCCAAGUCUGACGAUUGUUCUGAAUAAAGAACUUUGG
Mizuhopecten yessoensis (Yesso scallop) is the source of this 384-nucleotide long non-coding RNA. RefSeq lists it as uncharacterized. NCBI's taxonomy places the organism in Eukaryota, Metazoa, Mollusca, Bivalvia, Pectinida, Pectinidae. The transcript is spliced from 4 exons. The record is from RefSeq and is a predicted model, not a curated record.